This 369-nucleotide long non-coding RNA is filed under the name Helianthus annuus (common sunflower). Its description in RNAcentral is "sRNA HanXRQr2_Chr12g0540451". Lineage: Eukaryota; Viridiplantae; Streptophyta; Magnoliopsida; Asterales; Asteraceae. The record is from RNAcentral.
GGUUUUCCGGUGAAGCAACUGGCGCCCUCAGCAGAAUGAUAUGAUAGGGUUAGCGCCUAAAAGAAUUCGUUAUGACCACCGAGCUUCACUCUUGAUUCCACAGAUGAAUUGAGCAUCUCGGGUGGACAAAUAGUGCAUGUGGUUUCUUGGCCAUUGCUCACUAUAGCACUUUCUGGAAUAAUGGGAGUAGUUCCACUAAAGAUUCUGCUCGCUUAACAAAUGGGUACUUGGAUACAAAUCUACAAUCAUAGAUUAUUUAGUUGAUGCUAUUCAAUUAUGGCAUGGAUAAUAAUAGAGGUUCUUAAUGCUACUUAUAGUUUCUAUGCAAAGCUAAGGUCAGUUAUCGUUGAUGCUAAGAGGACAAAACUA